UACGGAGGGUGCGAGCGUUGUCCGGAAUCACUGGGCGUAAAGGGCGCGUAGGCGGGCGGACAAGUCUCUCGUGAAAGCCCACGGCUCAACCGUGGAAUUGCGGGAGAUACUGUCUGUCUUGAGUCCGGGAGAGGAGGGUGGAAUUCCCAGUGUAGCGGUGAAAUGCGUAGAUAUUGGGAGGAACACCGGUGGCGAAGGCGGCUCUCUGGACCGGUACUGACGCUGAGGCGCGAAAGCUAGGGGAGCAAACGGG
This 253-nucleotide ribosomal RNA is filed under the name uncultured bacterium. Its description in RNAcentral is "partial 16S ribosomal RNA". It matches the Rfam family "Bacterial small subunit ribosomal RNA", at positions 524 to 776 of the family's 1533-position model. The record is from RNAcentral.